Long non-coding RNA from Panicum virgatum (switchgrass), 943 nucleotides. RefSeq lists it as uncharacterized. The transcript has 2 exons. The record is from RefSeq and is a predicted model, not a curated record. Lineage: Eukaryota; Viridiplantae; Streptophyta; Magnoliopsida; Poales; Poaceae.
GUAGCAUGUCGGCAGUCCAAUGUGUGGUGUGGAGCAGAGGGAGCAAGCAAAAUAUCAUGUCGGCAGCCAAACGUGAUACUAUUAUUGAUCAGCUGAUGAAAUCAGACUAAGCCGAACAGAGCGAAUACCGGCCAGCAGAACUAGGUGAGAGGAAGCAAAGCAAGGCAUUUUUCUACAGCCUACUUUCCCCUUCCUGCUACAGUUGGGAGCAGACGAAAAAGGGCGGAGGCCUGGCGACCUUGGUUUCCGGCGGCGAUUCCACCGGCCCCCUCCCCCUCCCCCUCCGACGGUCGUGUGGCCGUCGGAGGGGAAGGAGGGCCGGGGAAUUGGCGUGCGGGUGUUUAUAGACUAGAUAGGUUAGUGUCUAGGUCUAGGUUUUGCUCGUUGUUGAGGUCGACGAUGGAGCUUCGAGGGCCGGGAGUGGUGGCCGCGAUGGCGCUGCUCCGACGGCGAUUUUUGUCUCUCGCCGGUGAGGAGGGUGUUCCCUGCAUCUUGUCCGCGCGAAGAUUUUGGGAGGUUGUCGGUGCUGCCGGCGAUCGUGGAUCUCGUUUUCCGACUGUUGGUGUGGCGGCCGUCGGGGCGGAUUGUUUUCUUUCUUCCUUCCUUCUUGCUGUUUGGGUGGUUGGUGGCCUUCUUUGUGUUGCUUUUUCCGCGGAUUGGAGCUCUGGGGCAAGAGGAGGCGUAGGGAGGAGCCAUAUCGGAAGAUGCUGAUGGUCGUGUUCACUUCCCGAGGAUUUCUUGCAGUCUUUCAAUGUUUGAAGUCAGUUCUUCAUUGUGGAGGAAAGCGGAAGCGGGUUGGGGGCUUCGGUUCGUGCUACUGCGACCAGAUGGCCGUCGUCACUUGGAACGGAGGAGGAAGAUGAACAGUUCCGUUGGCAGGGACCUGGUUGUAAUUUUCUUUUUCUUUAGGGUUUUUCCUGCAAGAAAGGGUUGUACUGUGCUA